RNA transcript from Phycodurus eques (leafy seadragon), 2787 nucleotides. RefSeq lists it as uncharacterized. NCBI's taxonomy places the organism in Eukaryota, Metazoa, Chordata, Actinopteri, Syngnathiformes, Syngnathidae. The record is from RefSeq and is a predicted model, not a curated record. The transcript is spliced from 2 exons.
UUAAAAACUUUCCGUUGGCUCCCCGAGUGCGUCAGCGUCUUCUGGACCGCCCAGAGGCCUCUGGGACACACCGAAACCCAAGAGGUGACGUCAACCCCAUCGUGAUGAUCAGCUGCGGCGUCACACUGCGGCGCUUCGAGAACUUGAACCGGAUCCAUCCCUCCGGCGAGGACAGCCUAGCUGAGAUUCUGGAAAAGACAGAAAAUGCACAAUCCUUAGUUUUCUACCAUGGGAAAGUCGUUUGAAACAUCUCAAUGAUAACCCAAUCGUCCAAACCAAACAGAUAUCGGCCGCCAUUGCCUUUCGGAUGAAAAUUGCAAGCACGAGGACAACAUGAAGACGCGCUAACCGCUCCUUCGCCGAGCUGGAGGGCGGACGUGCUUACUUGCUCGGCUUAGCCACACAUACGGACUUGGCGUUCUUCUACAAAAUGUAGAAGGUGUGCAACUGAAAUCAUUUCUUACCCAUUAAAAAAAAAGCGAUCCUCGCCUUGGCUUCUAUUACUUGUUCGCUGUUGCUUUUCCGGUGACACGCUCAACGAUACUGCCACCUGUCGGUGAGGUUUAGCACUGAUCUAAACACAAGCCCUGCUUUCCAUUCGAGCUCGGAAGUUGGAAUUUCAGCGUUCCUCGUCGGACGUUUCAAAAUGGUGAAUGCUAUUGUCUGUGAGUCUUUGUGGCACAAAUAUGAUUCCAGAAGAAGUCGAAUGUUUUGCACUCGGAAAGUCGGGGAAUUCACGUUUUUUCCCCCUCACGACCCCGAGUUGGCGUUCAAAGAUGGCUGCUGCGAGUGUAAACAGUAAAUCGAAGCUCCUGUAAUAAUCAGUCUCUUAUCAAUUCUGUAUAGUUUAUAGUAUAGUCACACUAAAUCGGCCGAUUUACAUGGUAUUAUUGCUGGAGUGCUAAAGACCCUUUUCAUGGGGUAAAUGCGAGCUACGGUGCAGCCCGUGCUAAUGUUUAUGUUUAAAAGUCAAGUAUUUUGUGGCAGUGAAUGACGUCUGCACAUUCUGAAUAUUGUUUUAAACGAUCAAUUUUUUUUUUUUUUUUUUUUUUUUACAACGAUCAUAUCCCCAAUCUGGAUUGAACAUAUUUUAUGAUUCAAAUUUUAUUCCCAAAUAUUUGUGAUUUAAAAAAAAAAAAAAAAACAACGGUGGGGAAAUAGUUUAUUUCAAAUUGUUUUAUUUAAAACGUUUAUGUGAACAUCAGCGCUGGCCUGUAUUUGGAUCCACACAGGGCGACUGUUUCCUGGCCCCUUUGUUCUCGCUGCGGUCAAGCCAGCGUGGAUUUCCUCCUAAAACAUGGCGUACGCUCAAAUCCACAAAACGUCGUACGCACAAAAAUAUCCAGAUGUGUGAAACUCUGCGUAAGCAGGAAUCCAAGCACAUUUCCUUCAGUCAUCCGGACUGAUAAAAAGAGUCCUUUUGAAUUUACUUAAUUUGAACAUGCACAUCGGUUUCAUGUGAUUAAAAUGACUUAAUUUACCCAUCUUCUCCUAUUAAAAAAAGUCAUUUUAAUCAUGUGCCACCAAUGUACAUGUUCAAAUGAAGUAAAUUCAAAAGGACCGCUUUAUUUAUUUAUUUUUCCAGUGCAUGUGGUGGAGUCACAAGAAACGAUUGUGAGGGCAACAAGGCGGCAUAAAUGAUCGCCUUGAUCAAUUAAUAGGUGUCCACACAACUAUCAGUGAUCUAUUAAAUACAAUGGAAUUCUGAGUCCUUGCUGCUUUUACAUUGUUGAAGUCAAGCGUUGUCGGUCACUAAUUGUUCAUCAGUGCAAAUUGUUCAUGUGUCUCUGAUGUGCAGAUUUAUUAUCCCCGUAUUAUUUGGAGGCUUUUAUUUUUGAAGGUGGCUUUCGUGGCUAGUAUACACAAAAUUAGGGGCGUCACCCUGCCUCUUGCUCCAGCACCAACACGGCAGGCAGGAGCAAGGUGAAGCUUUCCAAUUCCUCCGUGAGUCCAAGGAGGCCAGUCUGAGGCGUCGCGAAAACUUUCUGGAUCAACUGAAGUCAGCCCAGCAAAGAGAGCGACUUCUUGAUGACCAUCAGCAGACAAAGAGAAAUCGCAGAGAUGGGAGUCAGAUUGUCUGCAUCCUCUCUGUCCAUUUCCAGAUCAUUAACUCUGUUUGGGGCUGAGAAACUCUCAGUACCAGUGUCACUGCCAUAUGAAGAGAUCCCUCUAUCUGGUACUGUGGAAAUAUGUGGAUCAUCGCAGAGAAAGAAGUCACAACAGGCUGUUACAAUCAGGAUCCCAAGUCAAAAGGAGACAAAAUCGGCUAAAAAGUGUCCGGGACCCGUCGUCGUACAGCUGCCGAUGAAGCCGCCUUCCCAGGGGACAAAAGCAAAAGUAGCGUGUAGUGAAUACCCAAAGGAGGAGAGGAAAGCACUGCAGACCUUCAAACAUCCCCAGCUAGCCGUCUCGCCCAACUCCCCACAGAAAGCCUCUCCACAAAAGAAGCCGAAGGCGAAAAAGACGCCCAAAACAAACAGUGACAAUUUCACCUGCUCGCUGGAAGACUGCUUGUAUCAUAAAUCCAAAGAUCAGUCUGAUCAGGACAGGAAAUUAGAGCCAAUCAGAACUGGUACAGUCCAUAAGUAUCGGGGUGUUAAAAAACCCGAGGUCGGCCCUGGAUCUGAGAUAAGAGUCCCGUACAGACCCAAAGGAGGGAUGAUUUUUGAUCCAGAACUCAUGCCACUGAGUCCUAAGGUAUAGUCCGCGACUAUGAUGUGUAGAAUGUUUCUUCGUUUAAAUUUACCUCCCGGUUGCUUAUCCUGAUCAAAUAAAGUGAGAGUGAGA